Molecule: long non-coding RNA, 688 nt
Organism: Saccostrea cuccullata (small rock oyster)
Lineage: Eukaryota; Metazoa; Mollusca; Bivalvia; Ostreida; Ostreidae
Exons: 3
Source: RefSeq, a predicted model, not a curated record
UUAGAAAUGUCCUUUAAAGUAAUCAUUUCGUAAGUUCCUUUGGUCUAUACGAUGACCUUGCAGCAAAUAAAAGCUGUCAUUGAGUCAAAUGCUGACUGAUUAUUGUAAGUCCAUUAUUUGUACACAGAAUUGACGACGGGAUUUCCCGUUAUUUCCCGAUCAUGACAAGGAGCACACCACCGGUCAGCAGAAUUUGCUUACUCAUCCAUUGCACCUGAUCCCACCUCUGAUGUUUUGGAGCAUGACGAUGCUUCAUACCAGGAGACACAAAAAUGCAAAGACAACUGCCCAGGUAUUGGAUGUUAUUCAAAAAGGUUGGUAGAAGAUGUGGAACUCUUACGGCUAGCGAGAUACUUAAAUCCACAUGAAUUAGGGAGAAUUGCUACAGAACUCGGAAUCCUCAACAUGGAAGUCAAACGGAUAGAGAGAGAGAGAGCACCAAUCAAUUGAUGACCAGAGAUUUUACGUCCUACAUGAAUGGCGUAAAAGAUCACAACCUACAUUCUCCGAUCUGGGAUGAGUGUUGGCGCAAUUGCAACUUGACAAACACACACUCUGUGAGGUGAAGAAAUAGAUAUAUAUUGAGUAAAACGUUCUGUAAAUACAGAUAUAUCUCCUUUAUCCCUCUCUCCAUUUUCCCUGAAAUGUCCCAACACUUACACGCAAAUCCAGUCUAUCAUCUUCUUUG